Non-coding RNA from Apaloderma vittatum (bar-tailed trogon), 114 nucleotides. NCBI's taxonomy places the organism in Eukaryota, Metazoa, Chordata, Aves, Trogoniformes, Trogonidae. The record is from Rfam.
CUGGGGUAUGGUGAUAUGUAUCCACGGACUUGGUCAGGCAUGCUGGUGGGAGCCCUCUGUGCACUGGCUGGAGUACUCACUAUAGCCAUGCCCGUGCCUGUGAUAGUUAAUAAU